This 355-nucleotide unclassified non-coding RNA is filed under the name Hevea brasiliensis (rubber tree). The record is from RNAcentral. Lineage: Eukaryota; Viridiplantae; Streptophyta; Magnoliopsida; Malpighiales; Euphorbiaceae.
GGAGAGUGAGACAUCUCAUGCUUUGGAGAUUUAGUACGAGUUGAGCGUUUCUCUCUUGCUGAAGAGCUAUCCCUAUGGGAGCUCCGGUGUCGUGCUGCUGGUGAUCUUUCUCUUCGAGAUGGGCUCUUUCUAUGAGGAGAACCCCGACCUCUAAUGGGAGAUUGUGAAUGAUUAGACAAAUUACGCCCCAUUGGCAAUCACUGACUGUUCAGUUACGAACUUACCUCGGCGAGCUGGUAGUCAAUAAAGCAUCGCAAACGAAGUAUGAAACCCUAAAGCAGUAGCUGGCUGAUGAAAAAAAGAAGCCUGUAGUUGCUGCUACUCAAAACCUUUUUCAGUUUUGAACCGACUGAAG